This 2773-nucleotide ribosomal RNA is filed under the name Thanasimus formicarius. RNAcentral describes it as "eukaryotic LSU rRNA". It matches the Rfam family "Eukaryotic large subunit ribosomal RNA", at positions 1 to 2833 of the family's 3401-position model. Lineage: Eukaryota; Metazoa; Arthropoda; Insecta; Coleoptera; Cleridae. The record is from RNAcentral.
AAUGUUUGUGAUGGAUGAUUCGACUUUUGCUUUGAUGAAGGACGCAUCACGCCGCGAUACGUGGUAUGAUAUGUCAAAUCAAUACUAUCAUAUUUCUGAACACACAAAUCAGGACAUCUGCUCUUGAUCGUAAAUUUCGUGUUGCUCAAACUUACUGACUCCGUUGGUAUGUAGUAUAAGGUGUGAACACGCUUGUCGUCCAUACAUGGCAGGCUCGCUCACGAUAGUUUCUAUUGGCGUCGCCACCCGAUCGACAACCGAGAUUGACGCGAGUUACCGACUGAAUUUAAGCAUAUUAAUAAGUCGUGGAAUAAAAACCAAAAGGGGUUUCUUGAUUAGCGGCGAGCGAAACAGAAUGAGAUUCUCACGAUAAUCUUCUCGAAGAGUUGUUCGUGUAGAGAGGAUUAAUGCUGUGGUAGGCUCUAAUGUGGGGUAGACAGUUCUGGCCGCUUUCACGGAUACAAGUUCCGAGUCAUUAAAGCCACCCAACACUCUUCCGAUUGAAAGAAGUAGCGAUUCUCGAGAGUGAAACGUAAAAGGUGGUAAUCUUCACCCAAGUCUAGAUAUAAACAAAAGAUCGAUAGAGAACAAGUACCGUGAGGGAAAAUUGAAAAGUGCUCCGAUAGAAGUCUCAAAAGACCUGAAAUCACAAUUAUGGAAGCCUGAUUGUCGAGAAUAGUAUUCGGCUGACAUUGUUCGGAUGGUAUCAGCGACGGCAUCGCCGACAAGAAGGACCCGUCUUGAAACACGGACCGAGGAGUCAAUCACAUCUGCGAGUAUACCAAUUCUUAGAUUGCUGUACGUAGAGAAAACAUGUGCUGUAUACCAAACACCAGCGGCCGGGGUAUUCCCGAGUCUAAGCAGAUGUGUUUGGACCCGAAAGAUGGUGAUCUAUGCCUGGGUAGAGUUAAGCCACGGGAAACUCUGGUGGAGGCUCAAAGCGAUACUGACGUGCAAAUCGUUCGUGAAAUUUAGGCAUAGGGGCGAAAGACUAAUCGAACCAUCUAGUAGCUGGUUCCCUCCGAAGUUUCCCUUAGGAUAGCUGGAAGAAUUAGAAAAAAAUCCGGUAAAGCGAAUGAUUAGAGGACACGGGAGCCUAGGUGCGCUCGGCCUAUUCUCAAACUUGAAAUGGAUUUGCGCUGUUUUCCCUUCAUUGGAAUGCAGCGGAAAGUCAAUCUUCUUAGUGGGCCAUUUUUGGUAAGCAGAACUGGCGAUGAGGGAUGCUCCUAACGUAUGGCAAAGGUGCCCAAGGGUAGUAGAUCAGAUACCACGAAAGGUGUUGCUUCAUUGAAACAGCAGGGCGGUGGUCAUGGAAGUUGAAAACCGCUAAGGAGUGUGUAACAACUCACCUGCCGAAUGAACUAGCCCUGAAAAUGGAUGGCGCUCAAGCUACUCACCGUUACCAUACCGGCUAUUCGAUGUAUUGAUGGCUGCGUAGGAGGGCGUGAUUCUAACUUUGAAGAGCGUCAUGUGAAUACGCUUGGAGUUAUAUUCAGUGCAGAUCUUGGUGUUAGUAGCAACUAGUCAUGUGCAAUGCAUGACAACUGUCGUGGAUCAGGGUUCCGAGCCAACAGUAAAUGUUCUCGGGUUAGUCGGUCCUAAGAGGGAGGUCUUCACGGCUUCAAACUGGCAAAGUCGUCAAAUCUCGAAAGGGGAAAAGGUUAAUAUUCCAUCACUUGGUCAUAAAAAAGUGGUGACACGAUAGCAAACUACUAGUCAAGUAAUUCUCCGAGAAGCGUUACCUUUGCUUCUGAAUUUAUCGAAAUUCUUGAAAUGGGUUGGCCUGCGACAGAGUUACAGAUAAUGAUCAACAGCUUAUUUGGGUUGUUCGGCAGCAAUUAUUUGGUCCCUGAAAAGCGGUUUGGUAAUUGUUGUGAUCAAUCCGUACCCAAAACCGCAUCAGGUCUCCGAGGUCAGAAGCCUAAAGUUUGAUAGAAUAAAGUGAUUGAGGGAAGUCGGCAAAUUGGAUCUGUAACUUUGGGAAAAAGGUUGGCUCUGGGCAUCAUUCCGCAACAAGGUCUCCUUGGCGAUCUACGAAUCACGGAUUUUUUUGAUAAUCCCAGAACUGGUGUUGACUAGAGGAAUCUGACUGUUUAAUUAAAACAAAGCAUUGCGAAAAGCUCAAAAGCUAUUCACGCAAUGUGAUUUCUGCCCAGUGCUCUGAAUGUCAUUGUGAUGGAAUUCACAUAAGCGCGGGUAAACGGCGGGAGUAACUAUGACUCUCUUAAGGUAGCCAAAUGCCUCGUCGUCUAAUUAAUGACGCGCAUGAAUGGAUCAACGAGAUUCCUACUGUCCCCAAUUACCGUCUAGCGAAACCACAGCCAAGGGAACGGGCUUGGCAGCAUAAGCGGGGAAAGAAGACCCUGUUGAGCUUGACUCUAGUUUAAUUCUGUGAAGUGGCUCAUGAGGUGUAGAAUACGUGGGAGCACUUGUGCGCAGUUGAAAUACCACGACUCGUGAUGUUGCUCUGCUUCCCUGAUGAUUUGAGACUGCUUUGCAGCGCUUAUUAUAAGUUUGAUGAUCGAAUAAAACUGUGCGGGAACAAAAUUAGAUGGGGAGUUUGGCUGGGGCGGCACAUCUGCUAAACAACAACGCAGAUGCCCAAAGGUUGACUCAAAGAGAACAGAACUCUCUUGUAGACCGAAAGGGGAAAGGUCAGCUUGAUUUUAAUUCUCAGUGCAAGUAAUAACUGCGAAAGCACGGCCUAUCGAUCCUUUAAGCCCAAAAAGACUUUGGCUAGAGGUGACAGAAAAGUUACCACAGGGAUAACUGG